This is a long non-coding RNA of Armigeres subalbatus, 955 nucleotides long. RefSeq lists it as uncharacterized. The record is from RefSeq and is a predicted model, not a curated record. NCBI's taxonomy places the organism in Eukaryota, Metazoa, Arthropoda, Insecta, Diptera, Culicidae. The transcript is spliced from 2 exons.
AUGCCUUUCGCGAUUCAAUCGUUUGGUUUCGCCUUAGUGUGAUACAUAUCGACACGGUUGUUUCAUAAGGGCCAAUGUCGCAAACGUAAACAAUGACUUUUCCUGUAAAUUCCUCAACAACUAGGACCGCUCCCAGCUAACAACCACAUGGAACUGGUGGCGCUCCGUGUCUUCUAUCGAACGGAACUGGAAAAUACGGUCAGAAGUCUCUAAUCUUCUUGAAAUCAGCGAAAGAAGUCAAUGUUUACGUUUGCGACUUUCGCCCUUUUGAAACAACAAUGUCGAUAUCAUAAAUAAUUGCCUACAUUACGGCUCUUGCAAACGUUGUAAUGACGAAUCAACCAACCAAGCUUACAUGGUUCAACACACCAUUUUCUUCAUAACUUUUGAGCGCAAUGACCGAUCGUGAAUAAAUUCAAUAGUUAUCAACUACACACGGACUGACAGACAUUUGCUCAGUUCGACGAGCUGAGUCGAUUGUGAAAUGAUAGCCUUUCGGUACAACUUUGUUGUACGAGAAAAGCAAAGGAAAGAUUUUAUCGUUGAGAAGACCACAAUUUGCGCGACAUGUUAUUAGUUCACUGCACAACUGAUCAUUAUGGAACGAAAACCUGUGGGAACCGCACAGCAAGAAUAGAGCAGACCACAGAACACCGGUCUACUCAAAGGCCCAUACUGCUCUCCGUUCUAUUUCAUGGGUCAAAUGCUUUGAGAGUAGUAAUUGCUGUUGCUAAAUAGACGGCUAUGUAGAUGAUUUUAAGACGAAUUUCUCAUAGAUAAUAUUCCAAGUCAACAACCAUUAAUCUAGAGUAGUUUAUUAUUUAUGAUAGUUUGAUUCAUACAAAUGCUCAUGUAAAAUAAAAUACACUCUUUUUGAUAAUUUUCUUGAUUAUCCAGUCCUAGUACGUACCAGAUACAGACCGAAAAAAUUUAAAAAUAAUCUGAAAAAUAAAAA